This 257-nucleotide ribosomal RNA is filed under the name Pantoea sp. PNT02. RNAcentral's name for it is "partial 23S ribosomal RNA". It matches the Rfam family "Bacterial large subunit ribosomal RNA", at positions 2110 to 2366 of the family's 2925-position model. Lineage: Bacteria; Pseudomonadati; Pseudomonadota; Gammaproteobacteria; Enterobacterales; Erwiniaceae. The record is from RNAcentral.
CUUGACACUGAACAUUGAGCCUUGAUGUGUAGGAUAGGUGGGAGGCUUUGAAGCGUGGACGCCAGUCUGCGUGGAGCCAACCUUGAAAUACCACCCUUUAAUGUUUGAUGUUCUAACGUAGGCCCGUAAUCCGGGCUGCGGACAGUGUCUGGUGGGUAGUUUGACUGGGGCGGUCUCCUCCCAAAGAGUAACGGAGGAGCACGAAGGUUGGCUAAUCCUGGUCGGACAUCAGGAGGUUAGUGCAAUGGCAUAAGCCA